CAAAGCGAAACUGCGAAUGGCUCAUUAUAUAAGUUAUCGUUUAUUUGAUAGUACCUUACUACAUGGAUAACCGUGGUAAUUCUAGAGCUAAUACAUGCUGAAAAUCCCGACUUCGGAAGGGAUGUAUUUAUUAGAUACAAAACCAAUGCCCUUCGGGGCUCUCUUGGUGAUUCAUGAUAACUUCUCGAAUCGCACGGCCCCGCGCCGGCGAUGGUUCAUUCAAAUUUCUUCCCUAUCAACUUUCGAUGCUACGGUAGUGUCCUAGCAUGGUUGCAACGGGUGACGGAGGGUUAGGGCUCGACCCCGGAGAAGGAGCCUGAGAAACGGCUACUACAUCCAAGGAAGGCAGCAGGCGCGCAAAUUACCCAAUCCCGACUCGGGGAGGUAGUGACGAUAAAUACCGAUACAGGGCUCUUUUGGGUCCUGUAAUUGGAAUGAGUACAAUUCAAAUCCCUUAACGAGGAACAAUUGGAGGGCAAGUCUGGUGCCAGCAGCCGCGGUAAUUCCAGCUCCAAUAGCGUAUAUUAAAGUUGUUGUGGUUAAAAAGCUCGUAGUAGAAGCUCGGGCUCCGGCCGACCGGUCCGCCUCACCGCGUGCACUGGUUCGGCCGGGCCUUCACCUUCUGCGGAACCGCAUCCCCUUCACUGGGGGUGUCGGGGAAACAGGACGUUUACUUUGAAAAAAUUAGAGUGCUCCAGGCAGGCCUAUGCUCGAAUAGAUUAGCAUGGAAUAAUGGAAUAGGACGUGUGGUUCUAUUUCGUUGGUUUCUAGGACCGCCGUAAUGAUUAAUAGGGACAGUCGGGGGCAUCAGUAUUCAAUCGUCAGAGGUGAAAUUCUUGGAUCGAUUGAAGACUAACUACUGCGAAAGCAUUU
This 873-nucleotide ribosomal RNA is filed under the name Musicillium theobromae. Its description in RNAcentral is "SSU rRNA". It matches the Rfam family "Eukaryotic small subunit ribosomal RNA", at positions 77 to 956 of the family's 1831-position model. Lineage: Eukaryota; Fungi; Ascomycota; Sordariomycetes; Glomerellales; Plectosphaerellaceae. The record is from RNAcentral.